This 414-nucleotide ribosomal RNA is filed under the name uncultured bacterium. RNAcentral describes it as "bacterial SSU rRNA". It matches the Rfam family "Bacterial small subunit ribosomal RNA", at positions 89 to 518 of the family's 1533-position model. The record is from RNAcentral.
AUCUUAGCGGCGGAUGGGUGAGGAACGCGUGGAGAACCUGCCCUUCACAGGGGGAUAACAGCUGGAAACGGCUGUUAAUACCGCAUAUGCUCACAGGACCGCAGUGGUCCAGGGAGGAAAGCCGAGACGGUGAAAGGAUGGCUCCGCGUCGGAUUAGCCAGUUGGCGGGGUAACGGCCCACCAAAGCGAUGAGUCCGUAGCCGGCCUGAGAGGGCGACCGGCCACAGUUGGACUGAGACACGGCCCAACUCCUACGGGAGGCAGCAGGUGGGGAUAUUGCACAAUGGGGGGAACCCUGAUGCAAGCGACGCCGCGUGAAGGAGGAAGUGCUUCGGCAUGUAAACUUCUAUCAGCAGGGAAGAAGAUGACGGUACCUGACUAAGAAGCCCCGGCUAACUACGUGCCAGCCGCUGC